CCUACUCGGAUAACUGUGGAAAUUCUAGAGCUAAUACGCGCAAGAAAGCUCGGACCUUUCGGGACGAGCGCAUUUAUUAGACCAAAACCAAUCGGGCUUCGGCCUGAGCGGUGGUGACUCUGAAUAACUAAGCUGAUCGCACGGUCUUAGUACCGGCGACGCAUCUUUCAAGUGUCUGCCUUAUCAACUUUCGAUGGUAGUUUAUGUGCCUACCAUGGUUGUAACGGGUAACGGAGAAUAAGGGUUCGACUCCGGAGAGGGAGCCUGAGAAACGGCUACCACAUCCAAGGAAGGCAGCAGGCGCGCAAAUUACCCAAUAGAGGAACGAGGAGGUAGUGCCGAAAAAUAACGCUCUAGAAGGGCUGAGGCCCGCCAUCGGAAUGGG
RNAcentral lists this ribosomal RNA (385 nucleotides) under Tardigrada environmental sample. Its description in RNAcentral is "bacterial SSU rRNA". It matches the Rfam family "Eukaryotic small subunit ribosomal RNA", at positions 134 to 518 of the family's 1831-position model. The record is from RNAcentral. Lineage: Eukaryota; Metazoa; Tardigrada.